Molecule: RNA transcript, 2608 nt
Organism: Cucumis melo (muskmelon)
Lineage: Eukaryota; Viridiplantae; Streptophyta; Magnoliopsida; Cucurbitales; Cucurbitaceae
Gene name: phenylalanine ammonia-lyase-like
Exons: 1
Source: RefSeq, a predicted model, not a curated record
UCCACUACCAAUCUCCACAACCCAGAAAUCAAUUCUCUAAGUCUAAACCAAAAGACAGAAGCUUAGUUCUUCAUCUCUAAUACCCUUUUCUCUUUUAAAUCCAUUUUUGUAUAGAAAUGGCAUUUGCUCACUUUCAACAGAAGAACGGUUCAGUGGAGAGUUUGUGCAUUGGCCCUAACGAUCCACUCAAUUGGGGUGUGGCUGCUGACUCUUUCAAGGGAAGCCAUCUCGAUGAGGUGAAGCGCAUGGUUGAGGAGUAUCGGAGGCCCAUUGUCAAGCUUGGUGGUGAAACUCUUACUAUUUCUCAAGUGGCUGCUAUUGCUACUCGGGAUUCUGAUGUUAUUGUUGAGCUUUAUAAGUCUGCUAGAGCUGGUGUUAAGGCUAGUAGUGAUUGGGUUAUGGAGAGCAUGAACAAAGGGACCGAUAGUUAUGGUGUUACUACUGGAUUUGGUGCUACUUCUCAUAGAGGGACCAAACAAGGUGGUGCUCUUCAAAAAGAGUUGAUUAGAUUUUUAAAUUCGGGAAUUUUCGGAAGUGGAGCUGAGUCUGAUCAUACUUUGCCCCAUUCAGCUACUAGAGCGGCCAUGUUGGUGAGAAUCAACACUCUUCUUCAAGGCUACUCGGGUAUUAGAUUUGAGAUUUUGGAAGCGAUAACCAAACUUUUGAACCAUAAUAUAACUUCGUGCUUGCCUCUCCGUGGAACAAUUACUGCUUCUGGAGAUCUUGUUCCUCUUUCUUACAUUGCUGGAUUGCUCACUGGGCGACCCAACUCCAAGGCCAUUGGACCAAAUGGAGAACGUAUUAAUGCCAAGGAGGCUUUCCAACAAGCCGAUAUUCCUUCUGGGUUCUUUGAAUUGCAACCUAAGGAAGGUCUUGCUCUUGUUAAUGGUACUGCUGUUGGUUCUGGAUUGGCUUCUAUUGUUCUCUUUGAGGCAAAUAUUUUGGUCGUUUUGUCCGAGAUUCUUUCUGCUAUUUUUGCUGAGGUCAUGCAAGGAAAGCCUUAAUUUACCGAUCAUUUGACUCAUAAGUUGAGGCACCACCCUGGUCAGAUUGAAGCGGCAGCAAUUAUGGAGCACAUUUUGGAUGGAAGCUCUUACAUGAAAACAGCCAAGAAGUUGCACAAAAUUGAUCCCCUCCAAAAGCCCAAACAAGAUCGAUAUGCUCUAAGAACUUCACCUCAAUGGCUUGGUCCCUUGAUUGAAGUGAUUCGAUUCUCUACAAAAUCUAUUAAGUGAGAGAUUAAUUCAGUCAAUGACAACCCUUCGAUUGAUGUUUCCAGAAACAAAGCAUUACAUGGAGGCAACUUUCAAGGAACACCUAUUGGAGUUUCCAUGGACAACACUCGAUUGGCCAUUGCAUCUAUAGGGAAGCUCAUGUUUGCUCAAUUUUCGGAACUUGUCAAUGAUUUCUACAACAAUGGUUUGCCAUCUAAUCUUUCUGCAAGUAGAAAUCCGAGCUUGGAUUAUGGAUUUAAAGGAGCUGAAAUUGCCAUGGCUUCAUACUGCUCUGAGCUUCAAUACCUUGUAAAUCCAGUGACAAGUCAUGUUCAAAGUGCUGAGCAACACAAUCAAGAUGUUAACUCUUUAGGUUUAAUUUCUUCAAGGAAAACAGCUGAAGCCAUUGAUAUUCUGAAACUCAUGUCGUCUACAUUUUUAGUUGCUCUAUGCCAAGCAAUUGACUUGAGGCAUUUGGAGGAAAACUUGAAGAGCACCGUGAAAACCACAGUUAGCCAAAUGGCCAAGAAAGUAUUGACCAUAUCCUCUAAUGAGACACUUCACCCAUCAAGAUUUUGUGAGAAAGAUCUACUCAAAGUCGUCGAAAGAGAGUACACAUUUUCUUAUAUCGAUGAUCUAUGCAGUGCUACUUACCCAUUGAGUCAAAAGUUAAGGCAAGUUCUCGUUGAACAUGCACUCACAAAUGGUGAUAAUGAAAAGGUUGCAGACACUUCAAUCUUCCAAAAGAUUGCUUCUUUCGAGGAGGAACUAAAGGCAAUAUUACCAAAAGAAGUUGAAAAUGCAAGGUUAGCCUAUAAGAGCGGAAAUUCUAAAAUUAAAAAUCAAGUCAAGAAUUGUAGAUCAUAUCCCUUGUACAGAUUUGUGAGAGAAGAGUUGAAAACAAAAAUGCUAACAGGAGAAAAGGUGAUAUCUCCGGGAGAAGAGUGUGAUAAAGUAUUCACAGAUUUGUGUCAAGGCAAGAUGAUAGACUCGAUAUUAGAGUGCUUGAAAGAGUGGAACGGUGCUCCAAUUCCGAUUUGCUAACCCAUUUUACAACACAGGAAACAGCCAACACAGAUCAUGCCUUCAACCAGUAGCGGAUCUAUAAAAUAUAUUGAGAGAGGCAAAAGAAAAAUAUGAAAAAAUAGAUUACAUAGCUAAGAUUUGAACAUGAGUAGAAGGGGGUUGACAAUUAAAGUAACCACUAAGCUAAUGAUAAAUAUUAACAAUCAAAUAGCUUUCUUUAUAUAUAUUAUAUAAAGACAAUAAAGUUGAGGGGGGCUCAAACUCCCCUGGACCUAUGCUAGAUCCGCUGGUGCCUUAGAUAUUUAUUCCAUUUGACUUGUACUUUCUAUUUUUUCCCCUCCUAUCUUAUUUUAUUUUACUAAAUUGAA